This 931-nucleotide long non-coding RNA is filed under the name Homo sapiens (human). RNAcentral describes it as "HSALNT0316294". Lineage: Eukaryota; Metazoa; Chordata; Mammalia; Primates; Hominidae. The record is from RNAcentral.
CAGCACCUUAAUUUUAGCCCAGUGAGACUUGUUAUCUAUGUAACUAUAAGAUGAAAAGGUUAUGCCGUUUUAAAGCACUAUGUUUGCAGUAAUUUGUUAAGGCAGCAAUAGAAGACUAAUAUAGAGUUAUAUGUUAAUGGCCACAUUAAACAAAAUAUAUAUCAUGACAAAGGCUUAAGAAACAUCUGGAAUAUUUGGAUGUCUUGGAUGUUAAGAAUCUUGGGUCUGUAAGUAAUAAGAAGCCAUCAAGAAAUUUCAGCUGGGGAUUUACACUAGUAAAAUGAAAAUUUACUUUCCAAAAUUAACAGGAUCAAUUUUCGUAGAAGCUCUAUUUAUAAGCACAAGAAAUUGGAAACAAGCCAAAUGUCUUUCAGCUGAUGAAUGGACAAACCAAUUGUGGCAUAUCCAUACAAUGGAGUACAAUGCAGCAUCAAAAAGAAACACACCGUAGACACCUGCAACAACUUGGAUUAAUCUCAGAGGGAUUAUGGUGCUGGCCAUGCAGGGACUUGGUCUCUGAAUGAGAUGAAGAGCCAUUAGCCUAUGAGCAGAGGAGCAGCAUAACAGGACUUCCGUUUUCAAGACACCUCUUUGGCUGUGAUGUUAGGAAUGAGGUAGAAACAGGGAGACCAGUUAGAAGGUUGUCACCAUAAUCAAGGUACCAGCAUGGGAGGGGUGAAAAGCAAUCAGCCUCCGGAUAUACUUUAAAGAGAGAAGAAACGGAAGAAUCAUCCAUGGAGUUAAGGUGAAAGCAGCACAAAUAGAGGAAAGUUUUAAAAAAAUUGUUCACUAGGGAGGUAUUUCCUGAAUAGAACUUCCUAACUGCAGCUACAGACCAUGUUAAAAGUGAUUGAUUUGCCUUAGCUACUGGCACAAAAUAUGGAGAGCAUUUCAAAAAGGUUCUUUAUAGUAAAACUUUGUUUUUCCUCUA